AUUGAACGCUGGCGGCAUGCCUUACACAUGCAAGUCGAACGGCAGCACGGGAGCAAUCCUGGUGGCGAGUGGCGAACGGGUGAGUAAAGUAUCGGAACGUGCCCAGUCGUGGGGGAUAACGUAGCGAAAGUUACGCGAAUACCGCAUACGAUCUAUGGAUGAAAGCGGGGGAUCGCAAGACCUCGCGCGAUUGGAGCGGCCGAGAUCAGAUUAGGUAGUUGGUGGGGUAAAGGCUCACCAAGCCGACGAUCUGUAGCUGGUCUGAGAGGACGACCAGCCACACUGGGACUGAGACACGGCCCAGACUCCUACGGGAGGCAGCAGUGGGGAAUUUUGGACAAUGGGCGCAAGCCUGAUCCAGCCAUGCCGCGUGCAGGAUGAAGGCCUUCGGGUUGUAAACUGCUUUUGUACGGAACGAAAAGGUUUGACUUACUACGUUGGACUCAUGACGGUACCGUAAGAAUAAGCACCGGCUAACUACGUGCCAGCCGCCGCUGUAA
This 500-nucleotide ribosomal RNA is filed under the name uncultured bacterium. Its description in RNAcentral is "partial 16S ribosomal RNA". It matches the Rfam family "Bacterial small subunit ribosomal RNA", at positions 30 to 523 of the family's 1533-position model. The record is from RNAcentral.